Molecule: long non-coding RNA, 825 nt
Organism: Megalobrama amblycephala (Wuchang bream)
Lineage: Eukaryota; Metazoa; Chordata; Actinopteri; Cypriniformes; Xenocyprididae
Exons: 4
Source: RefSeq, a predicted model, not a curated record
UCCAAAUCUAUCUCGGUUUCCUGCAGUGGCUCUUCCGUGUGCAUUACCUUUCCUUCAAUGUCUUUGGCUUAUGAUGACUGAUGAGGUAAAUUCAGCGUAGUGCUUGGGUCACUCACUAUAUCAUGAAUAAUUCAAAUAAAACAAAGGUGUUGUGUCACGUUGACACUGCCUGUCGUAACCAUAGACUAUAUGUCUAUGGUCGUAACUGUUUGUAACCCUUCCCAUGACUAUUAAUAUGAAUAUGGUGACGCGCACCCGUUUUAUUGUACGUAUUCAUGAGAUUGUGAACGAACGCUUACGUAAUGGUUACGAUGAGCCUCGUAUCCGUGGAAACGAGCGCGCGAUUUUUUUUUUCCUGAAGUUUAGAGGAGGAACCAACACUCUGUAUCCUACCCUCGAAAUCUUCACAAGAAGAACCUUCAAUCAGGACUCAGGAGCUUAUUAGUCGGAAGCUUCUUGUCAGCCUGUUUAAGGGAGACCCAGGUGUUCAGCAUGGAAGCCCGAAGUCUGGCCCAGACCAAAUGGUCAUUUAGACCUAGGAUCUGAGCUGCGAACUGAGCAGCAGCUUCAGGAGAAAGAACCGUGGAGCAGCCCAGACCUGAAAGAGCAUGCGAAGAGAUGACCAGAUGUCCUGAGCCCCCCAGUCAGGGGUAAUUGGGGGACAGUUAAUAACCGGAUAUGCAGUGUUUCCUGACAUCACGGGACCCAAGCCAUUACUUCUGCCUGCCACGGCAACAAAGAUGGUGGGAAUUCCAUCACCUGAGGAGAAAAACAUUGAUUAAUUAAAUCAGUUAUUACAUUAUGCAAUAAAUUCAUUAUACUAAA